GAUAUAUCUUACAGGAGGUAGAGCACUGGUUUUGUGCGGGCGGCGAAAUGCUGUACCAAACAAUGUCAAACUCCGAAUGCCUGUAAUGUAACUGUCUGGCAGUGAGGCUACGAGUGAUAAGAUCCGUGGCCAAGAGGGAAACAGCCCAGAACGCCAGUUAAGGUCCCUAAUAUAUGCUAAGUGGUUAAGGAGGUAGAGUUGCAUUGACAACCAGGAGGUUGGCUUAGAAGCAGCCAUCCCUUGAAAGAGUGCGUAAUAGCUCACUGGUCAAGCGACUCCGCGCCGAAAAUACACCGGGACUCAAGCAUAUAACCGAAGCUGCGUCAUUACAGUUUACUGUAAUGGGUAGGGGAGCGUUCUGUUGUAGGACGAAGUUAGAUCGAAAGGACUAAUGGACGAAGCAGAAGUGAGAAUGUCGGCAUAAGUAGCGAAAACAUUGGUGAGAAUCCAAUGCACCGUAAACCUAAGGUUUCCCCUGGCAGGCUCGUCCGCGGGGGGUUAGUCGGAACCUAAGAUGAGGCCGAAAGGCGUAGUCGAUGGACAUCAGGUUGAUAUUCCUGAACUAUCUGGUAAUCGUUAUCAGAUGCGGAGGGACGCAGGAGGAUAGGCAUGCAGACGAACGGAAGUGUCUGUUUAAGCGUGUAGCUAGUUUGAGUAGGAAAAUCCGCUCAGGCGUUAAGACGUGAGGCGUUAUGAGGAGAGUCUACGGACUCGAAGCUGUUGAAUCCACACUGCCAAGAAAAACUUCGCAAUCGAGAUUAUCCGGUAUCCGUACCGUAAACCGCCACAGGUAGGUUAGUAGAACAUACUAAGGUGCGCGAGACAACUCUCGCUAAGGAACUCGGCAAAAUCACCUCGUAACUUCGGGAGAAGAGGUACCCUGGUAGCGUGAAGCGAUUUACUCGUGAAGCGUGAUAGGGUCGCAGUGAAUUGGCCCAUGCGACUGUUUACCAAAAACACAGGUCUCUGCUAAGUCGAUCAAGACGAUGUAUAGGGGCUGACGCCUGCCCGGUGUCGGAAGGUUACGUGGAAGGGUUAGUAGUAAUACGAAGCUCUGAAACUAAGCCCCGAUGAACGGCGGCCGUAACUAUAACGGUCCUAAGGUAGCGAAAUUCCUUGUCAGGUAAGUUCUGACCCGCACGAAUGGCGUAACGAUAUGGGCGCUGUCUCGGCGAGAGGCUCGGCGAAAUUGGAUUAUCCGUGAAGAUACGGAUUACGUGUACCAGGACAGAAAGACCCUAUUGAGCUUUACUGUAGCUUGAAAUUGAAUUCGGGUUCUUAUUGUGCAGUAUAGGUGGGAGACACUGAAGCAAGAACGUCAGUUUUUGUGGAGUCAUCGUUGAGAUACCACUCUGUAAUAAUUUGAAUUCUAACACUGAUCCCUCUAAUAACAGGGCAGUGGACAGUUUCUGGUAGGCAGUUUGACUGGGGCGGUCGCCUCCUAAAAGGUAACGGA
This 1456-nucleotide ribosomal RNA is filed under the name metagenome. Its description in RNAcentral is "bacterial LSU rRNA". It matches the Rfam family "Bacterial large subunit ribosomal RNA", at positions 885 to 2304 of the family's 2925-position model. The record is from RNAcentral.